RNAcentral lists this ribosomal RNA (467 nucleotides) under uncultured bacterium. RNAcentral's name for it is "partial 16S ribosomal RNA". It matches the Rfam family "Bacterial small subunit ribosomal RNA", at positions 29 to 507 of the family's 1533-position model. The record is from RNAcentral.
ACGAACGCUGGCGGCGUGCUUAACACCUGCAAGUCGAACGGAAAGGCCCUGCUUUUGUGGGGUGCUCGAGUGGCGAACGGGUGAGUAACACGUGAGUAACCUGCCCUUGACUUUGGGAUAACUUCAGGAAACUGGGGCUAUUACCGGAUAGGAGCUCCUGCUGCAUGGUGGGGGUUGGAAAGUUUCGGCGGUUGGGGAUGGACUCGCGGCUUAUCAGCUUGUUGGUGGGGUAGUGGCUUACCAAGGCUUUGACGGGUAGCCGGCCUGAGAGGGUGACCGGCCACAUUGGGACUGAGAUACGGCCCAGACUCCUACGGGAGGCAGCAGUGGGGAAUAUUGCACAAUGGGCGGAAGCCUGAUGCAGCAACGCCGCGUGCGGGAUGACGGCCUUCGGGUUGUAAACCGCUUUCGCCUGUGACGAAGCGUGAGUGACGGUAAUGGGUAAAGAAGCACCGGCUAACUACGUG